UGCACAAAGGCUUUUGAAGAUUCCUUGUUGUGGACACCUGCUGUUUUCAGGGGUACCCAUAGUGGUAGAAAUUCUAAAGCAGCAAAUCUUUUCCAAAGACUACCUAAUGGCUCGUUUGCUCCGUUAGUGACCAUCGCUUUUUACACAGUGAAGCCAAACCGUUUAUUUCCACAUAAAGAAUGUUCACAUUUCUGUCUGGCAUCAAAUAAAUCAUUUAUAUCAUAUGUAACUGUAUGUCGUGAAAAUGCUUACCCCUGUUGGUCACUUGUGCGCAUGACAGUUCCAUUAACAAUAUUAAGUUGGAAUUUGCUGUGCUUUGGUGCCGUCGUGUGGACAUACUGUGUAAUUACAUGUCUGCUUUAAUGGUGUGACGCUGUGAUUUGACAUCCUUUGGCGUCAUCAUGUGGAGUGAGCGUGAGUGAAGGGCAGUGAGUGUAGCACGCUUAAGAAGAUGCUGAGUACGUGUAACAAAAUCAACAUGACAACAUGAGGGAGGAGAGUUGUGUGAGUGACAUCACAAUGUUGCAGCUGGACACCGGCAAGAACAGCUGCUAAAUAAUCACACUAUUUCCAUUAUCUG
Long non-coding RNA from Spea bombifrons (plains spadefoot toad), 580 nucleotides. RefSeq lists it as uncharacterized. The record is from RefSeq and is a predicted model, not a curated record. Lineage: Eukaryota; Metazoa; Chordata; Amphibia; Anura; Pelobatidae. The transcript is spliced from 3 exons.